UUUCCAGACUCCUACGGGAGGCAGCAGUGGGGGAUAUUGCACAAUGGGGGAAACCCUGAUGCAGCGACGCCGCGUGGGUGAAGAAGCGCCUCGGCGCGUAAAGCCCUGUCAGCAGGGAAGAAAAUGACGGUACCUGAAGAAGAAGCCCCGGCUAACUACGUGCCAGCAGCCGCGGUAAUACGUAGGGGGCGAGCGUUAUCCGGAUUUAUUGGGCGUAAAGCGUGCGUAGGCGGCUUGUUAAGUCCAGAAUUAAAGCCCGAGGCUUAACCUCGGUUCGUUCUGGAUACUGGCAAGCUUGAGUAUGGUAGAGGCAAAUGGAAUUCCUAGUGUAGCGGUGAAAUGCGUAGAUAUUAGGAGGAACACCAGUGGCGAAGGCGAUUUGCUGGGCCAUCACUGACGCUGAGGUACGAAAGCGUGGGUAGCAAAUAGGAUUAGAUACCCCCGUACC
Molecule: ribosomal RNA, 448 nt
Filed under: uncultured bacterium
Lineage: Bacteria
Description: bacterial SSU rRNA
Rfam family: Bacterial small subunit ribosomal RNA
Source: RNAcentral